RNAcentral lists this ribosomal RNA (253 nucleotides) under uncultured bacterium. Its description in RNAcentral is "partial 16S ribosomal RNA". It matches the Rfam family "Bacterial small subunit ribosomal RNA", at positions 524 to 776 of the family's 1533-position model. The record is from RNAcentral.
UACAGAGGUCUCAAGCGUUGUUCGGAUUCAUUGGGCGUAAAGGGUGCGUAGGUGGCGCCGUAAGUCAGGUGUGAAAUCUCGGGGCUCAACCCCGAAACUGCACUUGAUACUGCGGUGCUUGAGUACUGGAGAGGAGAUUGGAAUUUACGGUGUAGCAGUGAAAUGCGUAGAUAUCAAGAGGAAUACCUGAGGUGAAGACGGGUUGCUAGGCCGACACUGACGCUGAAGCGCGAAAGCCAGGGGAGCAAACGGG